AACCAACAGGGAUUGCCUCAGUAACGGCGAGUGAAGCGGCAACAGCUCAAAUUUUAAAGCUGGCGUCCUUGACGUCCGCGUUGUAAUUUGGAGAGGCACUUUCGGUUUGGGCGCCGGCCUAGGUUCCUUGGAACAGGACGUCACAGAGGGUGAGAAUCCCGUGCCGUCGGCUGUCCCAUUCCACGUGAAGUGUCUUCGACGAGUCGAGUUGUUUGGGAAUGCAGCUCAAAAUGGGUGGUAAAUUUCAUCUAAAGCUAAAUAUUGGUGGGAGACCGAUAGCGCACAAGUAGAGUGAUCGAAAGAUGAAAAGCACUUUGAAAAUAGAGUUAAAAAGUACGUGAAAUUGUUGAAAGGGAAGCGCUUGAGACCAGACUCGGCCUCGGACGAUCAGCCUCUCUUCUGGGCGGUGCACUCGUCUUUGGUCGGGCCAGCAUCGGUUGAGACGGCGGGACAAGGGCUUCGGGAAUGUGGCUCCUCUCGGGGAGUGUUAUAGCCCGUGGUGCAAUGCCGCCCGCCUCGACCGAGGACCGCGCUUCGGCUAGGAUGCUGGCAUAAUGGUCUUCAGCGACCCGUCUUGAAACACGGACCAAGGAGUCUAACACCUAUGCGAGUGUUUGGGUGUCAAACCCUUGCGCGGAAUGAAAGUGAACGGGGGUGGGAACCCGCAAGGGUGCACCAUCGACCGGUCCUGAUGUCUUCGGAUGGAUCUGAGUAGGAGCAUAGCUGUUGGGACCCGAAAGAUGGUGAACUAUGCCUGAAUAGGGUGAAGCCAGAGGAAACUCUGGUGGAGGCUCGCAGCGGUUCUGACGUGCAAAUCGAUCGUCAAAUUUGGGUAUAGGGGCGAAAGACUAAUCGAACC
This 859-nucleotide ribosomal RNA is filed under the name Leucangium microspermum. RNAcentral describes it as "partial 28S ribosomal RNA". It matches the Rfam family "Eukaryotic large subunit ribosomal RNA", at positions 63 to 941 of the family's 3401-position model. Lineage: Eukaryota; Fungi; Ascomycota; Pezizomycetes; Pezizales; Morchellaceae. The record is from RNAcentral.